RNAcentral lists this ribosomal RNA (250 nucleotides) under uncultured prokaryote. RNAcentral's name for it is "partial 16S ribosomal RNA". It matches the Rfam family "Bacterial small subunit ribosomal RNA", at positions 524 to 773 of the family's 1533-position model. The record is from RNAcentral.
UACGUAGGGGGCAAGCGUUAUCCGGAUUUACUGGGUGUAAAGGGAGCGCAGACGGAAUGACAAGUCAGAUGUGAAAGCACAGUACUUAACACUGUGACUGCAUUUGAAACUGCCGUUCUGGAGUACUGGAGAGGUAAGCGGAAUUCCUGGUGUAGUGGUGAAAUGCGUAGAUAUCAGGAAGAACACCGGUGGCGAAGGCGGCUUACUGGACAGAUACUGACGUUGAGGCUCGAAAGCGUGGGGAGCAAAC